GUCUUCGUGGCUCAGUUGGUUAGAGCGUACGACUGUUACUUCUUGUGCAUCGUAAGGUCACAAGUUCGAGCCUUGUCGAGGACG
Molecule: transfer RNA, 84 nt
Filed under: Serendipita vermifera MAFF 305830
Lineage: Eukaryota; Fungi; Basidiomycota; Agaricomycetes; Sebacinales; Serendipitaceae
Rfam family: tRNA
About the family: Transfer RNA (tRNA) molecules are approximately 80 nucleotides in length. Their secondary structure includes four short double-helical elements and three loops (D, anti-codon, and T loops).
Source: Rfam by way of RNAcentral